Panthera uncia (snow leopard) is the source of this 750-nucleotide long non-coding RNA. RefSeq lists it as uncharacterized. The transcript has 3 exons. The record is from RefSeq and is a predicted model, not a curated record. Lineage: Eukaryota; Metazoa; Chordata; Mammalia; Carnivora; Felidae.
CCUGUCUGAUUUCCAGGUAGACCCCGGCACUGUGUCGAUUCUAGCAGAAGAGGCACAUUUUUCUGGGUCCUGGCUCUGAGUGUGCACGUGCAAGGAGUGGAGUGGCCAUCAUCUCAAAGAGACCGGGUGAGAAGGUGGCAGGUGCUGAAUGGAAACGCCAACAGACAGAAUUGGAGAGGAGCACUUGGUAGGACGCUUCCUAAAAACCCUGCUUUGCUUCAUCGGUAUGCUGUUCCGGAACAGUUCUGCCUGACGCGGUGCUCCCGCAGGAUGCUCUCCAGGAACAUUCCGGUUAGCCUACCUCAGAAGAGUAACAGCCUGUGUGUGAACCCGUUACCCUCAAGACUUUGCUCUUCCUUCCACAAUACCUUUUGGUGGCCGUGCGUUCCCUUUCUUCGACUUCCUGUUAGCUUUUCAAAUGGUUGAUUUAGAAACUCAAGUUAUUCUAGCCUUGAUUAUGUGGUCUUAGGAUUCUCACAACUAGUUUUCCUCGUUAUGAAUAUUGAGAAGAGUUUGUUGGCAUGUUGUAUGAUGAGGAAGGAGGCCUGGGAUGGGAGUCCAAAGGUGUUGUAAACUGGGGCGGGGUACUUCAUCUCUCUGAACCUCAGUCUUGUCAACAAGAGGGUGGGUUAAAGUCUUCUUACUACCAAAUCCUAGAAGUCCUAAGAACUGUGCUCCAGAGGAGAAAACACACAUUGGCAAAUGUGGAUUUAUUCACUCUUCCGCCAUGCGUUUGCAGACCGGUUUGAG